This 253-nucleotide ribosomal RNA is filed under the name uncultured bacterium. RNAcentral describes it as "partial 16S ribosomal RNA". It matches the Rfam family "Bacterial small subunit ribosomal RNA", at positions 524 to 776 of the family's 1533-position model. The record is from RNAcentral.
UACGAAGGGGGCUAGCGUUGCUCGGAAUCACUGGGCGUAAAGGGCGCGUAGGCGGCCAUUCAAGUCGGGGGUGAAAGCCUGUGGCUCAACCACAGAAUUGCCUUCGAUACUGUUUGGCUUGAGUAUGGUAGAGGUUGGUGGAACUGCGAGUGUAGAGGUGAAAUUCGUAGAUGUUCGCAAGAACACCGGUGGCGAAGGCGGCCAACUGGACCAUUACUGACGCUGGGGCGCGAAAGCGUGGGGAGCAAACAGG